RNA transcript from Zea mays, 2418 nucleotides. RefSeq lists it as uncharacterized. NCBI's taxonomy places the organism in Eukaryota, Viridiplantae, Streptophyta, Magnoliopsida, Poales, Poaceae. The record is from RefSeq and is marked validated. The transcript is spliced from 10 exons.
CGAAAAUUACAUUUUUCUGUAUAAGAAGAAAUCUCCUCUGCUCAGUUUCCACCGCCGCACUCCUCCACCCAGACCCUCCUCCCUCACGGCCCCACCCACCUCGCGUCCUCGCCGGAACCCUAACGGUGACCGCCUGCCGUGCCCAUCGGCGGCGAUCGCGUUGCUGCGCCCCCGAUGAGUUACCUCUGCGCGGGCAGUUCGUCGUUCGAUGACCCCGACGUGGUUGAGGUGUCUUCGGCCACCGCCGCGGCUGCGGGGUGGGCCUCCGGCCACCACAAGAGGAAGCGGAGCCAGGUUGUCCCUCAAGAAGUAAUUGAAAUUGAUGAUGAUGAUCCUGAUGGAGUCAUAAUUAUUGGUGAUAAAGCACCAUUGGACAAGAAUAAGCAAACUGUUGUAUGCCCUAUGGAUUGGCCAAAGCAUGCCAAGAGUGGUUGGGUUCAGGACAUCGCUGGCCCAAGCACAUAUGCUUCAAAAUAUAUCGAUUCCUGUGUUGACCUGAAAGUGUUUCAAGAUGAGGCAGUUUACAACUAUUCUGAUGACUGUCCCUAUGCGGGAUUUGAAGACUAUAUGUAUGAUGAAGAUGAGUUUGAGGUUGAUGGUUAUGAUGCUCUGCUUAUUGAAAGUGAGUUUAAAUUUGGUUUGUCUGCCAAGUUUGAUAACCUCCAUGCUCCACCUGUUCUGGAGGUUUCUUUACCAUGGAUGCAGAAGACUGCUAUUGAUAUUGCAAAUAAGACCAAACCCACUAAGGUUGUAGAUGAUAAAAUCGAAGAAAAAUACAAGGCCUUCAAACGAUUUGAUACUGUUGAUGAUCAUAGUGAUCAUUAUUAUUCAAAGCCAACGUCGAGAAAGGUUCAGGUGGUAAAAAAGCCAUCAAAAGACUGGGUGAAACGUAUACAGCAUGAGUGGAAAGUCCUAGAGAGAGAUUUGCCAGAUACUAUAUUUGUGAGGGCAUAUGAGGAUAGAAUGGACCUGCUUAGAGGUGUCAUUAUGGGACCGGCUGGGACUCCUUACCAUGACGGGCUCUUCUUCUUUGACAUAUACUUUCCUCCUCGGUAUCCAAAUGUCCCACCGAUGGUGAAUUACCGUGCUGGUGGUUUGCGGCUUAAUCCAAACCUGUAUGAUUGCGGGAAGGUGUGCCUUAGCCUCCUCAACACCUGGGACGGCAGCGGAUGUGAGAAGUGGAAUCCGGCCAAUUCAACUAUGCUGCAGGUCCUGGUCUCUAUCCAGGCUUUGGUUUUGAACGCAAAGCCCUUUUUCAACGAGCCUGGCUACGCUAUGCAUGCUAACACGGCUCACGGGGAGAAGAAAUCGCUGGCAUAUAACGAGGACACGUUCCUGCUAUCCUGCAGGACGAUGUUGUAUUCUCUUCGAAAUCCACCAAAGAAGCAUCUCGAGCCUCAUCAACAAGAAUGGAAAAGUUUCUAUUCCCAAUAUCCGAAAUAAUAGCUUUGGUGGUUUGCUCUGCACAAGCUCUACAAAUGUCUUUUUGGAUAUCAGGUGAAGUCAUCUGAUUAGUACGAAGCAAAUUUGCUACAUUUUUAUCCUUGUCUUUGUACCACUGUAGCAACUCUAAAAAGUUUCCCUUAUUGCUUGAGGUAGAAGAUUCAUCAUGUCCACGAAAAGCAAGUGCUUGCAAUAAAAGGUUCUUGGGAAGGUUGGUUUGGUGUUGAUGAAUCAGUUCGUAUCAAAGAACUUCGAGGAUUUCGUUGCUGGCCAUUUCCGCCAGCAUGGGCGCAACAUCCUUGUCGCUUGCAGAGCCUACCUGGACGGUGCCCAGGUUGGAUGCCUAUCGGGCGAUGGAGUGCAGGACGUUGAUGAAGGCGACACGAGCUGCUCGGUGAGGUUCAAGCAGUCACUGAAGAAACUCGUUGAGGAGCUGUUGACGGAGUUCACUGUGAAGGGCGCGGACUGCGGCAAGUUCCUCACCGAGGAGAAGGCAAAGAGGUCGUCUGGAGCUUGCUCCACAUGGACAGCGGACACCACAUUGAGGCUGUAAGGCGGAGUCGGCUUGCUUUAAGAGUUUGAAGUUAUACAGUAGAAACUUACUAUUCAGGCUACGGCUCCAUUCCGGCCCUCAGUCGAUUGUGGGGUGCCACAUCGCCAUAUAGCAUCUAACUGCUUUGUGUAGGUAGUCUAUUUUGGUGUUUGAAUGCACUAGAGCCUAGUUAGCUGCUAAAAUUAGCUGAAGACAACCAAACAUUAUAUCUGUUCAGCUAUUAGCUAAUUUUAGCAAUUUAGCUAACAAUUAGCUAGUUAUUUGUUAGUUAGCUAAUUUUAGUAGCAUUUUUUAGCCAACAAACUAUUGGUUCUAGUGCAUUCAAACACCCCCUAUCUCUAGCUCUUCUGGUAAAAACAUAUUUGGCGCUCAGGGACAACAUUCUACCGUAGCAUGUAUAAAAUUCGUCUUGGUCAGGUGUA